AUUGAACGCUGGCGGCAUGCUUUACACAUGCCAGUCGAGCGGUAACAGGCCUUCGGGUGCUGACGAGUGGCGAACGGGUGAGUAAUGCAUCGGAACGUACCCAGAGGUGGGGGAUAACGCAGCGAAAGCUGUGCUAAUACCGCAUGUGAUCUGAGGAUGAAAGCGGGGGACCGAGCAGCAAUGUUUGGCCUCGCGCCUUUGGAGCGGCCGAUGUCGGAUUAGCUAGUUGGUGGGGUAAAGGCCUACCAAGGCGACGAUCCGUAGCUGGUCUGAGAGGACGACCAGCCACACUGGGACUGAGACACGGCCCAGACUCCUACGGGAGGCAGCAGUGGGGAAUUUUGGACAAUGGGCGCAAGCCUGAUCCAGCAAUGCCGCGUGCGGGAAGAAGGCCUUCGGGUUGUAAACCGCUUUUGGCAGGAACGAAACGGUGUCCGCUAAUACCGGGCGCUAAUGACGGUACCUGCAGAAUAAGCACCGGCUAACUACGU
Molecule: ribosomal RNA, 491 nt
Filed under: uncultured bacterium
Lineage: Bacteria
Description: partial 16S ribosomal RNA
Rfam family: Bacterial small subunit ribosomal RNA
Source: RNAcentral